Long non-coding RNA from Sphaeramia orbicularis (orbiculate cardinalfish), 1161 nucleotides. RefSeq lists it as uncharacterized. The record is from RefSeq and is a predicted model, not a curated record. NCBI's taxonomy places the organism in Eukaryota, Metazoa, Chordata, Actinopteri, Kurtiformes, Apogonidae. The transcript has 3 exons.
GAUACGGGUAGGCUCCAUGCGAAUCAUGAGUGUUAAAACAGAACAGCUACAGUUUGUGACAUUUAGUCCAAACGGUCUCCAUGUGUGUUCCGGAGCAGCUCACCGCGGCUAAGAAAGCUAAGGUGUGGUCAGUGAAUGCAGCACCAUCUGGACAGUGAAGGAGAUGAGCCACAGUGAUCCACGGACUAUUAAAGGAAUGACACUUCCAGUGUCAUAUGAGAUGGUACAUGUUCAUUAAAUCCAUCUGGUCUGGUAUACAGAUCUGAUAACUCCUUUUCUGUGCUGAUGCUGCUGGAAAGAAGCCAAAGGUGGAUUUUAAGUGAAACCUAAAAGUUGUAUCUGGCAAAGAUCACCUGAUUCCAACAAACAUGGAUGGAGGACACACCUGUGACCAGUGUGGGGAGAAUUUCACCGGAAUGCAUAAUCUUAAGAUGCACCUACGCAGCCACAGAGGUGAAAGACCAUAUGGUUGUGACCAGUGUGGGAAGACUUUCACCCACAUGCAUAACUUGAAGUCAUACCUACGCAUCCACAGCAGAGAAAAACCAUAUCUGUGACCAGUGUGGAAAGGCUUUCAGCAGACAGAGUGAUCUUAAAAUACAUCAAUGCAGCCAUACUGGGGAAAGACCAUAUGACUGUGGCCAGUGUGGGAAGACAUUCACUCACACAAAUAACCUCAGGAGAUACUUACGCAUCCACAGUGGAGAAAGACCAUAUGAGUGUGACUAGUGUGGGAAGACUUUCACCCACAUCAGUAGCCUUAAGAGACACCUACAUAUCCACAGCAAAGAAAGACCAGAUGACUGUGACCAGUGUGGGAAGACUUUCAACCAAAUCAAUGACCUUAAGACACACCUAUGCAUCCACACAUGAGAAAGACCAUAUGACUGUAACCAAUGUGGGAAGGCUUUCAGGGACUUCUCUGAAUUCUAUUCUCACCGUCACGUUCACCACAAGAAGUUGAUGUACGCAUGUGACAAGUGCAUAAAGAUAUUCUGAUCGUCUAACUCUUACAAGUGUCACCAAUGGACCCAUACUGGAGAGAAACUCUACCAGUGCAGAUUUUGUGACAGAUCUUUUAUCACAGGUUCACAAUAUACCAAACAUGAAUGUGUCAAACAUUUACACAAAGGACAAAAACUGAACAAUUGCACAAAAAUG